CUACGGGUGGCUCCAGUGAGGAAUAUUGCACAAUGGGGGGAACCCUGAUGCAGCAACGCCGCGUGGAGGAUGACGCAUUUCGGUGUGUAAACUCCUUUUAUAUGUCAAGAAAAUGACGGUAGCAUAUGAAUAAGCACCGGCUAACUCCGUGCCAGCAGCCGCGGUAAUACGGAGGGUGCAUGCGUUACUCGGAAUCACUGGGCGUAAAGGACGCGUAGGCGGGUUGGAAAGUCAGGUGUGAAAUCCUACAGCUUAACUGUAGAACUGCACUUGAAACUUCUAAUCUAGAGUAUGGGAGGGGGAGAUGGAAUUAGUGGUGUAGGGGUACAAUCCGUAGAUAUCACUAGGAAUACCUAAAGCGAAGGCGAUCUCCUGGAACAUUACUGACGCUAAGGCGUGAAAGCGUGGGGAGCAAACAGGAUUAGAUACCCGGGUAGUC
Molecule: ribosomal RNA, 439 nt
Filed under: uncultured bacterium
Lineage: Bacteria
Description: partial 16S ribosomal RNA
Rfam family: Bacterial small subunit ribosomal RNA
Source: RNAcentral